This 535-nucleotide ribosomal RNA is filed under the name uncultured Gammaproteobacteria bacterium. RNAcentral's name for it is "bacterial SSU rRNA". It matches the Rfam family "Bacterial small subunit ribosomal RNA", at positions 9 to 523 of the family's 1533-position model. The record is from RNAcentral. Lineage: Bacteria; Pseudomonadati; Pseudomonadota; Gammaproteobacteria.
GAGUUUGAUCAUGGCUCAGAUUGAACGCUGGCGGCAGGCCUAACACAUGCAAGUCGAGCGGAAACGAGUUAUCUGAACCUUCGGGGAACGAUAACGGCGUCGAGCGGCGGACGGGUGAGUAAUGCCUAGGAAAUUGCCCUGAUGUGGGGGAUAACCAUUGGAAACGAUGGCUAAUACCGCAUGAUGCCUACGGGCCAAAGAGGGGGACCUUCGGGCCUCUCGCGUCAGGAUAUGCCUAGGUGGGAUUAGCUAGUUGGUGAGGUAAGGGCUCACCAAGGCGACGAUCCCUAGCUGGUCUGAGAGGAUGAUCAGCCACACUGGAACUGAGACACGGUCCAGACUCCUACGGGAGGCAGCAGUGGGGAAUAUUGCACAAUGGGCGCAAGCCUGAUGCAGCCAUGCCGCGUGUGUGAAGAAGGCCUUCGGGUUGUAAAGCACUUUCAGUCGUGAGGAAGGUAGUGUAGUUAAUAGCUGCAUUAUUUGACGUUAGCGACAGAAGAAGCACCGGCUAACUCCGUGCCAGCAGCCGCGGUAA